CGGAGGGAUCAUUACCGAGUUUACAACUCCCAAACCCCAAUGUGAACGUUACCAAUCUGUUGCCUCGGCGGGAUUCUCUUGCCCCGGGCGCGUCGCAGCCCCGGAUCCCAUGGCGCCCGCCGGAGGACCAACUCCAAACUCUUUUUUUCUCUCCGUCGCGGCUCCCGUCGCGGCUCUGUUUUAUUUUUGCUCUGAGCCUUUCUCGGCGACCCUAGCGGGCGUCUCGAAAAUGAAUCAAAACUUUCAACAACGGAUCUCUUGGUUCUGGCAUCGAUGAAGAACGCAGCGAAAUGCGAUAAGUAAUGUGAAUUGCAGAAUUCAGUGAAUCAUCGAAUCUUUGAACGCACAUUGCGCCCGCCAGUAUUCUGGCGGGCAUGCCUGUCCGAGCGUCAUUUCAACCCUCGAACCCCUCCGGGGGGUCGGCGUUGGGGAUCGGCCCCUCACCGGGCCGCCCCCGAAAUACAGUGGCGGUCUCGCCGCAGCCUCUCCUGCGCAGUAGUUUGCACACUCGCACCGGGAGCGCGGCGCGGCCACAGCCGUAAAACACCCCAAACUUCUGAAAUGUUGACCUCGGAUCAGGUAGGAAUACCCGCUGAA
Molecule: ribosomal RNA, 597 nt
Filed under: Trichoderma longibrachiatum
Lineage: Eukaryota; Fungi; Ascomycota; Sordariomycetes; Hypocreales; Hypocreaceae
Description: eukaryotic LSU rRNA
Rfam family: 5.8S ribosomal RNA (bases 239-392)
Source: RNAcentral